UACAGAGGUCCCAAGCGUUGUUCGGAUUCAUUGGGCGUAAAGGGUGCGUAGGCGGCGCGGUAAGUCGGGUGUGAAAUCUCGGGGCUUAACUCCGAAACUGCAUUCGAUACUGCCGUGCUUGAGGACUGGAGAGGAGACUGGAAUUUACGGUGUAGCGGUGAAAUGCGUAGAGAUCCGGAGGAACACCGCAGGCGAAGGCAGUGUCCUGGCGCGUACCUGACGCUGAGGUGCGAAAGCUAGGGGAGCGAACGGG
RNAcentral lists this ribosomal RNA (253 nucleotides) under uncultured bacterium. RNAcentral's name for it is "partial 16S ribosomal RNA". It matches the Rfam family "Bacterial small subunit ribosomal RNA", at positions 524 to 776 of the family's 1533-position model. The record is from RNAcentral.